This is a long non-coding RNA of Hordeum vulgare subsp. vulgare (domesticated barley), 557 nucleotides long. RefSeq lists it as uncharacterized. The transcript is spliced from 2 exons. Lineage: Eukaryota; Viridiplantae; Streptophyta; Magnoliopsida; Poales; Poaceae. The record is from RefSeq and is a predicted model, not a curated record.
GGCUUUUUUUAGCAAUUGAAACUUCUAAUUUUAACCUCUACACUUGUGAAGCCCAUUUCCAGUGGUCAUCCUACAAUGAGCCUGAAAAGCAACCGCACAUAUCAUGACUCCAAGAUGAUAUAUCCUGACCUGGACGUUGCAUAAGAAAAAGUAAAUGUAGCCACCUUUUUUUCUUAGCUUAUGAGAGAAGAUAGUUAUCGUAGUAGCAUUCAGGUUUCAUCAGUGUGGAGUCAAAAAAAGUAGUCACAAGCACAUGACGACCCUACAUCAUAUUUCCACCAUUUUCUAAAGCAUAUUGUGCAGACGAAGAGGAUGAGUAGAAACUUGUGGUUCUCAUCCAAUCUUCAUGGAACUCUCUUUAUGUGCGAUUGUGCACUUGUUGGGUCCUUUUUUCGUGCGUUUGCACUUGUAGAAGUAUUUUGUUGUGUAUAUGUAAAAUUAUUUUGAUGUGCCCUUGUUAGACGUUGAAACUUAAUGCAUGGAGUUGGUGGAUGAUGUAAUGUAUUUGAUGUGAUAUGCUACUGAAAUGAAAUAUACAUUUUAUUUGCAAUCUUUUA